UCUUGUAGCUCACGAGAGAAAGGUUUUGACAACGACAUUGCAACAAGAGUUAUGAAAAUUAUUGUUGAUGUGUGCAUGAUUGGACUCCAAGGGAAUGUGGAAAAGGUGUCUUGGGCACACCCGGGUGAUGAUCUAGACUUCACCCUUCGUCGAAGCAAAAGAAGAAAAACCCACGUCUUAUAUUUAUUUUCCUCUUUGCUCUCUCGCCCCACCUCUUUCUCCAUACGCUACGAGUCUUAAUGUUGUCUUCUUCCCACACAUGAGCCGCGCCUCUCACUCCUCCUCCUCCUCAUGGGGUGGCUUCAGUCCCUCCUCUCUCCAUUGAAGAAGAUGUGGUUUCGCCUCCACUCAGCUCCGAAAAAGAGAAGAGGGAUAUACAUUCUCUACGAGGACGUCAAAUCAUGCCCGUGUGAGGACGUUCAUGUGCUGUGGUCGAUCCUGGUGGAGGCGAACACGCCUUCUGCGCCGUCCACCGCCAAACAAUGAACACCUCCAGGUCGCAGGGGGUUCUUCCACUUCUCAGGCUACACUAGAAACCCCCAGUCAUGUACAUUAAAAUAUGUAUUUAUAAUGUCUUCCACUACACUCCUGUAGCUUUGCCUCAUCUUUCUCCCUUUCUUUGUUCUGAUUUUUGAGCAUGAGAUUGUUGACUUAUCAUAACUUAAAUUUCAAGGAUUCCAUGAGGAGUGCUCCUUCAU
Rhodamnia argentea is the source of this 698-nucleotide long non-coding RNA. RefSeq lists it as uncharacterized. The transcript is spliced from 2 exons. NCBI's taxonomy places the organism in Eukaryota, Viridiplantae, Streptophyta, Magnoliopsida, Myrtales, Myrtaceae. The record is from RefSeq and is a predicted model, not a curated record.